RNAcentral lists this transfer RNA (88 nucleotides) under Felis catus (domestic cat). It matches the Rfam family "tRNA". From Rfam's summary of the family: Transfer RNA (tRNA) molecules are approximately 80 nucleotides in length. Their secondary structure includes four short double-helical elements and three loops (D, anti-codon, and T loops). Further hydrogen bonds mediate the characteristic L-shaped molecular structure. tRNAs have two regions of fundamental functional importance: the anti-codon, which is responsible for specific mRNA codon recognition, and the 3' end, to which the tRNAs corresponding amino acid is attached (by aminoacyl-tRNA synthetases). tRNAs cope with the degeneracy of the genetic code in two manners: having more than one tRNA (with a specific anti-codon) for a particular amino acid; and 'wobble' base-pairing, i.e. permitting non-standard base-pairing at the 3rd anti-codon position. The record is from Rfam by way of RNAcentral. Lineage: Eukaryota; Metazoa; Chordata; Mammalia; Carnivora; Felidae.
ACCUGAGUGGCUCAGUCAGUUAAGCGUCUGACUUCGGCUCAGGUCAUGAGACAAUCGCGGUUUGUGGGUUUGAGCCCCACGUCAGGCU